This 480-nucleotide ribosomal RNA is filed under the name uncultured bacterium. RNAcentral's name for it is "bacterial SSU rRNA". It matches the Rfam family "Bacterial small subunit ribosomal RNA", at positions 564 to 1044 of the family's 1533-position model. The record is from RNAcentral.
AGAGCUUGUAGGCGGUUGGUUGCGUCGAAAGUGCAAACUCAGGGCUUAACUCUGAGCCUGCUUUCGAUACGGGCUGACUGGAGGAAGGUAGGGGAGAAUGGAAUUCCCGGUGGAGCGGUGGAAUGCGCAGAUAUCGGGAGGAACACCAGUGGCGAAGGCGGUUCUCUGGACCUUUCCUGACGCUGAGAAGCGAAAGCGUGGGGAGCAAACAGGCUUAGAUACCCUGGUAGUCCACGCUGUAAACGGUGGGUACUAGGUGUGGGGGACAUUCCACGUUCUCUGUGCCGUAGCUAACGCAUUAAGUACCCCGCCUGGGGAGUACGGCCGCAAGGCUAAAACUCAAAGGAAUUGACGGGGCCCCGCACAAGCGGCGGAGCAUGCGGAUUAAUUCGAUGCAACGCGAAGAACCUUACCUGGGUUUGACAUAUAUCGGAAACGUUCAGAGAUGGGCGCCCCGUAAGGUCGGUAUACAGGUGGUGC